UGGGGAAUCUUGGACAAUGGGCGCAAGCCUGAUCCAGCCAUGCCGCGUGGAUGAUGAAGGCCUUAGGGUUGUAAAAUCCUUUCGUGGGGGACGAUAAUGACGGUACCCCAAGAAGAAGCUCCGGCUAACUUCGUGCCAGCAGCCGCGGUAAUACGAAGGGGGCUAGCGUUGUUCGGAUUUACUGGGCGUAAAGCGCGUGUAGGCGGGUCGUUAAGUUGGGGGUGAAAUCCCAAGGCUCAACCUCGGAACUGCCUUCAAAACUGGCGACCUGGACUCAAGUAGAGGCAAGUGGAAUUGCGAGUGUAGAGGUGAAAUUCGUAGAUAUUCGCAGGAACACCAGUGGCGAAGGCGACUUGCUGGACUUGUAGUGACGCUGAGACGCGAAAGCGUGGGGAGCAAACAGGAUUAGAUACCCUCGUAGUCCCUGAGCGGGCUGGCAAGGCGCAU
Molecule: ribosomal RNA, 447 nt
Filed under: uncultured bacterium
Lineage: Bacteria
Description: bacterial SSU rRNA
Rfam family: Bacterial small subunit ribosomal RNA
Source: RNAcentral